GUGAAGCAUAAUCCAGACGGCAGUAUUGAAUGUUACAAGGCCAGGCUUGUGGCUAAAGGUUAUACCCAAAUCCCUGGGUUGGACUACAUUGGGACUUUCAGCCCAGUAGCUAAGAUGACAACUAUAAGAACUCUUCUCGCCGUGGCUGCUGUCAAAGGUUGGUUCCUACACCAGUUGGAUAUCAUCACGAACACC
This is a long non-coding RNA of Ipomoea nil (Japanese morning glory), 195 nucleotides long. RefSeq lists it as uncharacterized. The record is from RefSeq and is a predicted model, not a curated record. NCBI's taxonomy places the organism in Eukaryota, Viridiplantae, Streptophyta, Magnoliopsida, Solanales, Convolvulaceae. The transcript has 3 exons.